GACGAACGCUGGCGGCGUGCUUAACACAUGCAAGUCGAGCGGUAAGGCCCUUUCGGGGGUACACGAGCGGCGAACGGGUGAGUAACACGUGGGUGACCUGCCCUCAGCUCUGGGAUAAGCCUGGGAAACUGGGUCUAAUACUGGAUAUGACUCCACGGUGCAUGUCGUGGGGUGGAAAGCCUUGUGCGGCUGAGGAUGGGCCCGCGGCCUAUCGGCUUGUUGGUGGGGUGAUGGCCUACCAAGGCGACGACGGGUAGCCGGCCUGAGAGGGCGACCGGCCACACUGGGACUGAGACACGGCCCAGACUCCUACGGGAGGCAGCAGUGGGGAAUCUUGCGCAAUGGGCGAAAGCCUGACGCAGCGACGCCGCGUGAGGGAUGACGGCCUGGUGUAAC
RNAcentral lists this ribosomal RNA (396 nucleotides) under uncultured bacterium. Its description in RNAcentral is "bacterial SSU rRNA". It matches the Rfam family "Bacterial small subunit ribosomal RNA", at positions 28 to 429 of the family's 1533-position model. The record is from RNAcentral.